UCUUGGUCAUUUAGAGGAAGUAAAAGUCGUAACAAGGUCUCCGUUGGUGAACCAGCGGAGGGAUCAUUACCGAGUUUACAACUCCCAAACCCAAUGUGAACGUUACCAAACUGUUGCCUCGGCGGGGUCACGCCCCGGGUGCGUCGCAGCCCCGGAACCAGGCGCCCGCCGGAGGAACCAACCAAACUCUUUCUGUAGUCCCCUCGCGGACGUAUUUCUUACAGCUCUGAGCAAAAAUUCAAAAUGAAUCAAAACUUUCAACAACGGAUCUCUUGGUUCUGGCAUCGAUGAAGAACGCAGCGAAAUGCGAUAAGUAAUGUGAAUUGCAGAAUUCAGUGAAUCAUCGAAUCUUUGAACGCACAUUGCGCCCGCCAGUAUUCUGGCGGGCAUGCCUGUCCGAGCGUCAUUUCAACCCUCGAACCCCUCCGGGGGAUCGGCGUUGGGGAUCGGGACCCCUCACACGGGUGCCGGCCCCUAAAUACAGUGGCGGUCUCGCCGCAGCCUCUCCUGCGCAGUAGUUUGCACAACUCGCACCGGGAGCGCGGCGCGCCCACGUCCGUAAAACACCCAACUUUCUGAAAUGUUGACCUCGGAUCAGGUAGGAAUACCCGCUGAACUUAAGCAUAUCAAUAAGCGGAGGAA
RNAcentral lists this ribosomal RNA (642 nucleotides) under Trichoderma asperellum. Its description in RNAcentral is "eukaryotic LSU rRNA". The stretch from base 253 to 406 matches the Rfam family "5.8S ribosomal RNA". The record is from RNAcentral. Lineage: Eukaryota; Fungi; Ascomycota; Sordariomycetes; Hypocreales; Hypocreaceae.